AAGCCCAGAGGAUUCAAGCCGGCUAGAGUGUAGUGAAUGCGCCUGCGCAUCGAACGGCCAGAGUAAGAUUGGGUAGUCUACUGGAAGACAGUAGGCCCUGCCGCAAGGUGGGGAUGUGUGCACCGGGCGGAGGCCGGAACACGCUAUCCGUCUAUGGGCUGCCUAGCCGGUGCACUUUCUCUGUGGUGAACACCACGACCGGUGGAACUGCCAGUCUGUCAUAGUCAAGUCGUAGUGGGCGGGCUUUCGGGUCUGCCUGCUGUGAUCACGGGCGUACUUGGUAAACGGCGUUAGUGCAUCUUUACGGUGUGCCGACGUGUUAUCGGCUACUAGUCGCUUUAUCGGGCCUGCUUAAUGCACGUUAUAGCCGUGUGUUUUGUGGUCUGGUGGACUUUGAUGGUAAUAAUAACUGUGCAGGGCACCGGAGUUUUCGGCCUCAAAUGCAGUCUGCAUGCGUGCUAUGAAUGUGUUUGUGGGUGUCGUCGCGAGCUGGCUGUUGUUGGAUUUGAUUGUCGUGUUGCCUGCGAAAAG
Molecule: ribosomal RNA, 531 nt
Filed under: Pseudanthobothrium purtoni
Lineage: Eukaryota; Metazoa; Platyhelminthes; Cestoda; Rhinebothriidea; Echeneibothriidae
Description: partial large subunit ribosomal RNA
Source: RNAcentral